RNAcentral lists this ribosomal RNA (253 nucleotides) under uncultured bacterium. RNAcentral's name for it is "partial 16S ribosomal RNA". It matches the Rfam family "Bacterial small subunit ribosomal RNA", at positions 524 to 776 of the family's 1533-position model. The record is from RNAcentral.
UACGUAGGGUCCGAGCGUCGUCCGGAAUUACUGGGCGUAAAGAGCUCGUAGGUGGUUUGUCGCGUUGUUCGUGAAAACUCACAGCUUAACUGUGGGCGUGCGGGCGAUACGGGCAGACUGGAGUACUGCAGGGGAGACUGGAAUUCCUGGUGUAGCGGUGGAAUGCGCAGAUAUCAGGAGGAACACCGGUGGCGAAGGCGGGUCUCUGGGCAGUAACUGACGCUGAGGAGCGAAAGCGUGGGGAGCGAACAGG